CCUACGGGUGGCAGCAGUGGGGAAUAUUGGACAAUGGGGGCAACCCUGAUCCAGCCAUGCCGCGUGUGUGAAGAAGGCCCUCGGGUUGUAAAGCACUUUCAGUGAGGAAGAACGCCUGGUGGUUAAUACCCAUCAGGAAAGACAUCACUCACAGAAGAAGCACCGGCUAACUCCGUGCCAGCAGCCGCGGGAAUACGGAGGGUGCGAGCGUUAAUCGGAAUUACUGGGCGUAAAGCGCGCGUAGGUGGCUUGAUAAGCCGGUUGUGAAAGCCCCGGGCUCAACCUGGGAACGGCAUCCGGAACUGUCAAGCUAGAGUGCAGGAGAGGAAGGUAGAAUUCCCGGUGUAGCGGUGAAAUGCGUAGAGAUCGGGAGGAAUACCAGUGGCGAAGGCGGCCUUCUGGACUGACACUGACACUGAGGUGCGAAAGCGUGGGUAGCAAACAGGAUUAGAUACCCGUGUAGUC
Molecule: ribosomal RNA, 465 nt
Filed under: Vreelandella stevensii
Lineage: Bacteria; Pseudomonadati; Pseudomonadota; Gammaproteobacteria; Oceanospirillales; Halomonadaceae
Description: partial 16S ribosomal RNA
Rfam family: Bacterial small subunit ribosomal RNA
Source: RNAcentral